This 394-nucleotide ribosomal RNA is filed under the name uncultured bacterium. Its description in RNAcentral is "partial 16S ribosomal RNA". It matches the Rfam family "Bacterial small subunit ribosomal RNA", at positions 523 to 918 of the family's 1533-position model. The record is from RNAcentral.
ACACGUAGGGGGCGAGCGUUGUUCGGAAUCAUUGGGCGUAAAGGGCGUGCAGGCGGUCCUGCAAGUCCGGCGUGAAAGACCCCGGCCCAACCGGGGGGACGCGCUGGAAACUGCAGGGCUUGAGUACAGGAGGGGAUGCCGGAAGUUCCGGGGUAGGGGUGAAAUCUGUAGAUAUCUGGAAGAACACCAAUGGCGAAGGCAGGCAUCUGGCCAUGUACUGACGCUGAGACGCGAAGGUGCGGGGAGCAAACAGGUUUAGAUACCCUGGUAGUCCGCACAGUAAACGAUGUGCACCAGGUGGCGGGGGGUCGACCCCCGGUACCGUAGCUAACGCAUUAAGUGCACCGCCUGGGGAGUAUGCUCGCAAGGGUGAAACUCAAAGGAAUUGACGGGG